CACGUAGUUAGCCGUGGCUUUCUGGUUAGGUACCGUCUCUACUGUGUAUAGUUACUACACAAUCAUUCUUCCCUAACAACAGAGCUUUACGAACCGAAAUCCUUCUUCACUCACGCGGCGUUGCUCCGUCAGGCUUUCGCCCAUUGCGGAAGAUUCCCUACUGCUGCCUCCCGUAGGAGUCUGGGCCGUGUCUCAGUCCCAGUGUGGCCGAUCACCCUCUCAGGUCGGCUAUGCAUCGUCGCCUUGGUAGGCCUUUACCCCACCAACUAGCUAAUGCACCGCAAAGCCAUCUCAUAGUGUUAGCAAAACCAACUUUUAAACAUCAACCAUGCAGUUAAUGCUGUUAUCCGGUAUUAGCUAUCGUUUCCAAUAGUUGUCCCAGUCUAUGAGGCAGGUUCUUUACGUGUUACUCACCCGUUCGCCGCUAAGUUUUUCCGGUGCAAGCACCAGAAAAACUUCGCUCGACUUGCAUGUAUUAGGCACGCCGCCAGCGUUCGUCCUGAGCCAGGA
This 510-nucleotide ribosomal RNA is filed under the name uncultured Gemella sp. RNAcentral's name for it is "partial 16S ribosomal RNA". Lineage: Bacteria; Bacillati; Bacillota; Bacilli; Caryophanales; Gemellaceae. The record is from RNAcentral.